RNAcentral lists this ribosomal RNA (545 nucleotides) under uncultured bacterium. Its description in RNAcentral is "bacterial SSU rRNA". It matches the Rfam family "Bacterial small subunit ribosomal RNA", at positions 8 to 526 of the family's 1533-position model. The record is from RNAcentral.
AGAGUUUGAUCAUGGCUCAGAACGAACGCUGGCGGCGUGGAUAAGACAUGCAAGUCGAACGCUAAUUUCAGGGUAGCAAUAUUCUGAAGUUGGAGUGGCGCAAGGGUGCGUAACACGUGGGUAAUUUGCCGUGAAGUUGGGAAUAACUCGCUGAAAGGCGAGCUAAUGCCGAAUGUGAUAAUUGGGUGGCAUCAUCUGAUUAUUAAAGUUGGGGACCGUAAGGCCUGACGCUUCACGAUAAGCCCGCGGCCUAUCAGCUAGUUGGUGAGGUAACGGCUCACCAAGGCUAAGACGGGUAGCUGGUCUGAGAGGACGACCAGUCACACUGGAACUGAGACACGGUCCAGACACCUACGGGUGGCAGCAGUCGAGAAUUUUUCUCAAUGGGCGAAAGCCUGAAGGAGUGACGCCGCGUGGGGGAUGAAGGGCUUCGGCUCGUAAACCCCUGUCAUUUGCGAACAAACCUUACGAUCUAAUAAGUCGUGAGCUGAUUGUAGCGAAAGAGGAAGGGACGGCUAACUCUGUGCCAGCCGCCGCGGUAAUAC